RNAcentral lists this long non-coding RNA (266 nucleotides) under Elaeis guineensis (African oil palm). RNAcentral's name for it is "long non-coding RNA (EGUI_LNC074755)". Lineage: Eukaryota; Viridiplantae; Streptophyta; Magnoliopsida; Arecales; Arecaceae. The record is from RNAcentral.
GCUACGAAGAAGCUCGGCUGAAGUCUACCUGUAAUGGAAGUUCGAAAGAGACGUGUUUAUAGUAGGGGCUUGAAUGGUAUUUGCUUACAGUAGAGAUUCAGAGUAGACCAUCCGCUGUAGGAGUUCGGAGUAGACUGCUCGUAGUAGAAGUUUGGAGCAGACCGCUCGCUGUAGGAGUUCGGAGUAGACUGCUCGUAGUAGAAGUUUGGCUCUCACAGGAGCUCGAUUAGAAUCUUGAAGGUGGUCGACUGCCGUAGAAACUCGGA